AUUGAACGCGGCGGCAUGCUUUACACAUGCAAGUCGGACGGCAGCACAGAGAAGCUUGCUUCUUGGGUGGCGAGUGGCGAACGGGUGAGUAACAUAUCGGAACGUACCGAGCAGUGGGGGAUAACUAAUCGAGAGAUUAGCUAAUACCGCAUAUUUUCUGAGGAAGAAAGCAGGGGACCAUUCGGCCUUGCGCUGUUUGAGCGGCCGAUAUCUGAUUAGCUAGUUGGUGGGGUAAAGGCCUACCAAGGCGACGAUCAGUAGCGGGUCUGAGAGGAUGAUCCGCCACACUGGGACUGAGACACGGCCCAGACUCCUACGGGAGGCAGCAGUGGGGAAUUUUGGACAAUGGGCGCAAGCCUGAUCCAGCCAUGCCGCGUGUCUGAAGAAGGCCUUCGGGUUGUAAAGGACUUUUGUCAGGGAAGAAAAGGGCGGGGUUAAUACCCCUGUCUGA
This 451-nucleotide ribosomal RNA is filed under the name Neisseria flava. Its description in RNAcentral is "bacterial SSU rRNA". It matches the Rfam family "Bacterial small subunit ribosomal RNA", at positions 30 to 476 of the family's 1533-position model. The record is from RNAcentral. Lineage: Bacteria; Pseudomonadati; Pseudomonadota; Betaproteobacteria; Neisseriales; Neisseriaceae.